CACGUAUUUAGCCGGGGCUUCCUCCUAUGAUACCGUCAUUAUCUUCUCAUAGGACAGAGCUUUACGAUUCGAAAACCUUCUUCGCUCACGCGGCGUCGCUGCAUCAGGGUUUCCCCCAUUGUGCAAUAUUCCCCACUGCUGCCUCCCGUAGGAGUUUGGACCGUGUCUCAGUUCCAAUGUGGCCGUUCAUCCUCUCAGACCGGCUACUGAUCGUCGCCUUGGUAGGCCUUUACCCUUCCAACUAGCUAAUCAGACGCGAGCCCAUCUUACACCGAUAAAUCUUUGACCCCUUUACCAUGCGGUUCUGUGGUCUCAUGCGGUAUUAAUCGUCGUUUCCAACGGCUAUCCCCCUGUGUAAGGUAGGUUGCUCACGUGUUACUCACCCGUUCGCCACUUUCAUUCUAUUUCCUAUCCCGAAGGCUAUUCCAUAAAAUCACGUUCGACUUGCAUGUGUUAAGCACGCCGCCAGCGUUCGUCCUGAGCCAGGAUCAAACUCU
RNAcentral lists this ribosomal RNA (497 nucleotides) under uncultured Parvimonas sp. RNAcentral describes it as "partial 16S ribosomal RNA". Lineage: Bacteria; Bacillati; Bacillota; Tissierellia; Tissierellales; Peptoniphilaceae. The record is from RNAcentral.